This 498-nucleotide ribosomal RNA is filed under the name uncultured bacterium. RNAcentral's name for it is "partial 16S ribosomal RNA". It matches the Rfam family "Bacterial small subunit ribosomal RNA", at positions 28 to 523 of the family's 1533-position model. The record is from RNAcentral.
GAUGAACGCUAGCGGCAGGCCUAAUACAUGCAAGUCGAACGAUAGAAGAGGGCUUGCUCUCUUCGAAAGUGGCGCACGGGUGCGUAACGCGUAUGCAACCUACCUUAAUCAGGGGGAUAGCCCGAAGAAAUUCGGAUUAACACCGCAUAAAAUCACAGUACAGCAUUGUACAAUGAUCAAAUAUUUAUAGGAUUAAGAUGGGCAUGCGUGACAUUAGCUAGUUGGCGGGGAAACGGCCCACCAAGGCGACGAUUUCUAGGGGAUCUGAGAGGAGGACCCCCCACACUGGUACUGAGACACGGACCAGACUCCUACGGGAGGCAGCAGUAAGGAAUAUUGGUCAAUGGAGGCAACUCUGAACCAGCCAUGCCGCGUGCAGGAAGACGGCCCUCUGGGUUGUAAACUGCUUUUAUUCGGGAAUAAACCUCAUCACGUGUAAUGAGCUGAAUGUACCGAAGGAAUAAGGAUCGGCUAACUCCGUGCCAGCCGCCGCCGUAA